Lytechinus variegatus (green sea urchin) is the source of this 740-nucleotide long non-coding RNA. RefSeq lists it as uncharacterized. NCBI's taxonomy places the organism in Eukaryota, Metazoa, Echinodermata, Echinoidea, Temnopleuroida, Toxopneustidae. The transcript is spliced from 5 exons. The record is from RefSeq and is a predicted model, not a curated record.
AAAACAAAGCGGAUCGGAUAAUUUGUCUCAGAAUUAGAUACAGAAUGACAGAAUUGCAGAGAUGACUAAGCAUGAUGUGCUAGUUAGACGAUAUGAAACAGAAACUUGCAGCUGCUGUUAACAUGGAACAGAGGAGAUGCAAAGAGUUCAGUCCAGAUUAAAAACAAUGAAACUGUGGAGAAGUUGUUACAAGUUCAAGCAUCCACGGGGAUGACAGUCACUAUGGUCAAGAGGCUGUUGAAGUUGAGAGAAGAACAUCUGAUCAAAUACUCUGCUGCUUUGGGCAUGAACCAGGCUCAGAUGAUGGCCAAACCUGUCUUAGUUUUUGGAGAAAAAGCUCAGCUGUACAAUGUGAGAUGUCUCCCUUGAAGACAAGGAAUAAGCCCCAAGGAAACUGCGCUGCAUCAACCGACAAGAUCUACAUCAGGAAGGACAUCAGAAGUCUUCUGACCACCACACCAACCUUUGUCACCGGCAGUGCCCUGGCAGGAGGUAAUAUGAAGAGUCCACAGAGCAUGAGGCAAGGUCUUUUUGAUCAAGGCAUCAUUUUGAAUGUUCAUAUGACGUCAUCAUCGGCGUCAACCUCGGAUUCGACCACAGAUCUCAGAUUCAGUCAUUGUUGUCACGCCAAUAUGAACAAGAAGACAGAAGAGAGCACUACUCAUUUACAAUAGGUGCCAAUCUGCAACGCUGCCACCUCAUCUGCUAAAUCUUCAGCACAGUGCACUCUCUGGCAACAA